This 336-nucleotide unclassified non-coding RNA is filed under the name soil metagenome. RNAcentral describes it as "partial contains 5.8S ribosomal RNA, internal transcribed spacer 2, and large subunit ribosomal RNA". The stretch from base 1 to 120 matches the Rfam family "5.8S ribosomal RNA", at positions 35 to 154 of the family's 154-position model. The record is from RNAcentral.
GAUGAAGAACGUAGCGAAAUGCGAUAAGUAGUGUGAAUUGCAGAAUUCAGUGAAUCAUCGAAUCUUUGAACGCACAUUGCGCCCCAUGGUAUUCCGUGGGGCAUGCCUGUUCGAGCGUCAUACCCCCUCAAGCUCCGCUUGGUGUUGGGCGUCUGUCCCGCUUCGCGCGCGGACUCGCCCCAAAGGUAUUGGCAGCGGUCGUGCCAGCUUCUCGCGCAGCACAUUGCGCUUCUCGAGGCACCGGUGGGCCCGCGUCCAUCAAGCUCACCCCCCCCAGUUUGACCUCGGAUCAGGUAGGGAUACCCGCUGAACUUAAGCAUAUCAAUAAGCGGAGGA